GUGGAAUGACAUAUGCAGGAGAAAUAAGGUUCAACCCUGUGGAAAGUCCAUACAAAAAGAAGGAGAAAUAUUCAAAAAUGGUAAAACAUGUAGUCAACAAGUAAACGACAGUGCCAAUUGUUAUUAAAUAGGGGUUAAGUGAAGUUUCUCAUGUUUCUCAUGGGCAGGAAGGUGUCUUUGAAGGAGGAAGACAUAUGCGAUUUAGAACACCAACUAUCUGUGAGAGACAGAGAGAAGAAACGUCAUCACCAUGGCAUCCGUGCUACAAGGUGUGGAGGAAGACUUGGGUCUGGCCACUUCUUCUUCCUUUGCAGAUGAGGAGACUGAGGCCCCACAAAGGAAACAUUUCAUUCAAGCUGCCGACCUGCCAUCUGCAGAAGACAUGGGACACAAGUGGGUGUCCCAGGGUAGACAGGUUACUGUUGCAUUUUAAUUGGCUUCAUAUUGGCAGUUCAAGGUACUUUUUGAAAAUGAGUCUACCGACA
Molecule: long non-coding RNA, 485 nt
Filed under: Fukomys damarensis (Damara mole-rat)
Lineage: Eukaryota; Metazoa; Chordata; Mammalia; Rodentia; Bathyergidae
Description: lncRNA (ENSFDAG00000029391.1)
Source: RNAcentral